RNAcentral lists this long non-coding RNA (2144 nucleotides) under Anas platyrhynchos platyrhynchos (common mallard). RNAcentral's name for it is "lncRNA (ENSAPLG00000024772.1)". Lineage: Eukaryota; Metazoa; Chordata; Aves; Anseriformes; Anatidae. The record is from RNAcentral.
AAUUACUGUUUUCUUUUCCUUGGUCAUAUUUUCCUUCUAAUAUCCUUGUUUUCUAACAUCUAAGAGAAUCACAUUGAACUUGCGGCCUUGUUGCUAGGUUUCAAGCUGAUUUUAUGCAGUCUACUGAGACACUAUUUUCGUUUUUGAAUUCUGAAUCAAGUCCCAAGGCAACAGGGCCCUGUUUCUUAGCAACACAGAUGGGCAGACCAUAUAUUCCAGUGCUUUUGUGCAAGGGAAGAAUAAACAUCUCCCUGAAUAAGGGUGUGCUGCAAGUUGAUCUCUUUGCUUAACUUCCCCUAGAACAGAGGAACGAGAGGCAUUCUGUGAUACAUCACAUGAAGUUUGUCAGGAAGUCCCUGUUUUUGCAAGUCGUAUGCAACAGAUUUACCACAUCUUGUGUCAAGUUACUCCAGAGAUCCUUUAAAUGUGAAGUUAAAAUCACAUCCUUCCAACAGAGAUCUGGGACUUGAAUUGCUGAAAUGAAAGCAAAAGAGCUUUGUGAACAUGAAUGGGAUCCUUCCUAAGUUACUGCUACCAAAGAAUCCGUGCCUACCUAAAUCUGCUUCAUUUAUGGCUGCUGACAGCUUACAGCACCCUCCAACACAGCUCCCAUGCCUGGCUGCCAGAGCCCUGGGAGGAACAGAAAAAUGCCUGAGAAAUAAGCCACUAUCUGCUUCCACCUGGUCUAGAGUAAACUUCUCAAUGGGGGUUUUCACCAGUGAAAUCUGUUUGCUGUACAAAUGCAUUUUCUUACAUGAUAUUUGGUACUAGCCUGACGUGAACUUGCAUGGUGAUGACUAUUUAAAUGUCAAUGUUUUUCCUUUCACAGAAAUCUCAGACUAAACAGUAGGGUGCUGAUGAGAAAGCAAUGUGGUAAAGACUUCACAGUCUUAUCCAUGUUAACAUACCAGCCUUCUGUUUCUAUGAAAUCUGUACAUAUGCAAAUGCUAUGGAGGAUGCUAGCAGUCCUGAGCUGUGUCUGUAUUACCCUGUUAGGACAGGUAUGAGCUCUCUCAGAGCACUGGCACACUAUGACAAAGCAGGCCUAGGUCCUUCAAGCACUACAAAACCUAACACAGAGAGCUCCAUUCAUCAAUGAUGUUCAAAUAUGUUUUUCUUUUAUAUAUAUAUAUAUAUAUAUAUAUAUAUAUAUAUUCUUAUUUUUCCAGUAAAUACCACCAGCAGUGAACAGAAACACACUGAAUGCACUUUGAUUUUAAUAGAGAGUAUUUUAUCUCCUCCCUUUAUGUCUUGAUUUCUGAAAUAACAUGGAGGACAGUAUUAUUGUCAAUUUCUACUUAACAUUUCUUUAUCUAUAUGUCUAUCUGUUUAUCUUCAUCACUAAAAAUUACUUACUGACUCUUCUAAUUUAUUAAUUCUUUUCUCUCACCAACCCCUCAGUCAUUUGGAAGUAAAACAAAUGGCACGGUCCAUCAUACUCUUGAGGACAAGAGAGGCUGAGUGCCAUCAUGAGCUUACUUUGGAAACUCCCUGCUCUCUUUACCUAAGAACUGGUGAUCAGCUGACUGUGCCAAAACUAACCCUACCAUGCUUCCUUUUCUUUCAAGAGGAAGAUCUGCUUUGCUCUUGAGUCUGCAUCUGGAUUGAGAGCUGAAGCUCAGCAUGGUCAGGUAGUUUCAAUUCCUUUCAAAAAGAGCAUGUGAGGAUGCUCAAUGUAGCACUUUCAAGUCAUAGCCUGCAUUGCUGAGGGCUUUGGGGAAAUGUCCAGAGAUAGAUUUGGACUAAAACUUCCAGAUUUAGAUUGUAAGUAAACUGAAGAGUAUAUACUUACAACGUAGCGAUUUAGCAUAAGAAAAUUGCAUAGCUGGCUGUUUUGCCCUUUCCAAAAGACAAUGAUUUAUAUACCACUGUGGAAAGCUCAGAACACUAGAGACAAUUCCUUAAGCAAUGAUCUCAUAGCUCUGUGUGCGCUGGUGUGAAGUUUGACAUUUUUCUGGGAUUUAACAGAUGCAAUCCUUAGUGAAGAGAAAAAAUUACGUAGAAUAUUAAAAUUUUAAAAAGGCACUUUUUUUUUUUUUUUUGUUAAACACAUCUUCCUAUCAGUCAGGGAGGAAUUGUGUCGUAUUUUCAGACACUAGUUUGGAAAGAAUAAAAUCUCUGGGAAAUUUCCCUGCCUGGAAUUU